This 482-nucleotide ribosomal RNA is filed under the name uncultured bacterium. RNAcentral describes it as "partial 16S ribosomal RNA". It matches the Rfam family "Bacterial small subunit ribosomal RNA", at positions 30 to 507 of the family's 1533-position model. The record is from RNAcentral.
AUUGAACGCUGGCGGCAUGCCUUACACAUGCAAGUCGAACGGUAACGGGCCUUCGGGUGCCGACGAGUGGCGAACGGGUGAGUAAUACAUCGGAACGUGCCCGAUCGUGGGGGAUAACGAGGCGAAGGCUUUGCUAAUACCGCAUACGAUCUACGGAUGAAAGCAGGGGACCGCAAGGCCUUGCGCGGACGGAGCGGCCGAUGGCAGAUUAGGUAGUUGGUGGGAUAAAAGCUUUCCAAGCCGACGAUCUGUAGCUGGUCUGAGAGGAUGAUCAGCCACACUGGGACUGAGACACGGCCCAGACUCCUACGGGAGGCAGCAGUGGGGAAUUUUGGACAAUGGGCGCAAGCCUGAUCCAGCCAUGCCGCGUGCAGGAUGAAGGCCUUCGGGUUGUAAACUGCUUUUGUACGGAACGAAAAGCCUUCUUUUAAUACAGGAGGGUCAUGACGGUACCGUAAGAAUAAGCACCGGCUAACUACGUG